AUGGUGUUGCAUUGCAUGGCAUUGCAUGGUACAGCACAACACACACUGCAUUGCAUGGCAUUGUACAGCACAGCAUUGCGUGGGGUAGCAUGGCCACGACAUGACACAGCACAGCAUUGCAUGGCACCACUUGGCAUGGCUAGAGGCACAGUGAAGCUGUGUAAGUUCAUUUACAUGCACACCCGUGUGCACAUCUGUGCACUUAUGCUUACCUCUGCUCACACAUCAGUGCACACGUACACACACAUGCAUUUGCACACACACACCUGUUCACACACGAGUGCUUGCACACUUGUGAGCAUACACUUAUCUGCUCACACGCAUCUGCACACACAUCUUUGUACCCAGCUCUGGCACAGCACGGCACGGUAUGAUAUGGGACGGUGUGGUAUGGCAUGGCAUGGCAUGGUACAGCACAGCAAACUGUAUGUGUAUGUAGGUGCUAGUGUGUACACACUCCUGCACACACAUCUGCAUGCAUGGUUCUGCACAUACAGCAGCAUAUGCACCUGUGUACACACACCUAGCUGUGUGUGCACUCUUCUAUGUGCACACAGCCUGUACAUGUGCACCAUCACACUACUCCUGUGCUGCUCACACUAUAGAUGUGUGUAUGCCCACACACACCAAUACACACACACAGACUCAUGGAAUUUCCUGAGUUGGAAGAGACCCACAUGGAUCAUUGCAUCCAACUCCUGGCUCACCGUCAGCACCCACUGCACACUCCUGACACACAUCAACACUUGCACACCCACACACACCACUGCACACAGCAGCACCAACCAAGGCACAGCUGCACACAGCAGCAUGCACAGCCCCGCACGAGCACUGCACACUCACAGCUGCUCACAAAUGUUCCAGCACAGAUCAGAGGGCAGAAGUCUUUGCACACAUCUGAAGGCGCACACGUGUGCACACGCAGCAGUGGCACCUCCAUGCAGGCAGUGCACAUGUGGGUGCACACACACACCCUGCCGUGCACUGUGCAGCCCACAGACCCGGCUGCGAUGUUGGGUUGCAGAAAAUGCUCAGCUCUGA
This 1041-nucleotide long non-coding RNA is filed under the name Phasianus colchicus (ring-necked pheasant). Its description in RNAcentral is "lncRNA (ENSPCLG00000010216.1)". Lineage: Eukaryota; Metazoa; Chordata; Aves; Galliformes; Phasianidae. The record is from RNAcentral.